This 163-nucleotide ribosomal RNA is filed under the name uncultured bacterium. RNAcentral's name for it is "partial 16S ribosomal RNA". It matches the Rfam family "Bacterial small subunit ribosomal RNA", at positions 366 to 526 of the family's 1533-position model. The record is from RNAcentral.
CCGUAAUGCGCGAGCUGAUGGAGCACGCCGCGUGAGCGAAGAAGGUCUUCGGAUCGUAAGCUCUGUUGUAAGGGAAGAACAAGCGCAGCAGUUACUGGCUGCGCCCUGACGGUACCUUACUAGAAAGCCACGGCUAACUACGUGCCAGCAGCCGCGGUAAUAA